Molecule: unclassified non-coding RNA, 336 nt
Filed under: soil metagenome
Description: partial contains 5.8S ribosomal RNA, internal transcribed spacer 2, and large subunit ribosomal RNA
Rfam family: 5.8S ribosomal RNA (bases 1-120)
Source: RNAcentral
GAUGAAGAACGCAGCGAAAUGCGAUAAGUAGUGUGAAUUGCAGAAUUCAGUGAAUCAUCGAAUCUUUGAACGCACAUUGCGCCCCUUGGUAUUCCAUGGGGCAUGCCUGUUCGAGCGUCAUUUGUACCUUCAAGCUUUGCUUGGUGUUGGGUGUUUUUCUCGCCUUUGCGUGUAGACUCGCCUUAAAAUAAUUGGCAGCCGGCGUAUUGAUUUCGGAGCGCAGUACAUCUCGCGCUUUGCACUCAUAACGACAGCGUCCAAAAGUACAUUUUACACUCUUGACCUCGGAUCAGGUAGGGAUACCCGCUGAACUUAAGCAUAUCAAUAAGCGGAGGA